This 372-nucleotide ribosomal RNA is filed under the name Triticum aestivum (bread wheat). Its description in RNAcentral is "partial small subunit ribosomal RNA". Lineage: Eukaryota; Viridiplantae; Streptophyta; Magnoliopsida; Poales; Poaceae. The record is from RNAcentral.
AUGCCCAAGUUUACCGGAAGCAAUGACCCCGAAGAGUACAUAUCAUGGGCAUUGAAGGUUGACAAAAUCUUCCGCUUGCACAACUACGAAGAAGAGAAGAAGAUCGCAAUGGCAUUCCUCGAAUUCCAAGACUAUGUCCUCAUUUGGUGGGAACAAGUCAUUGAGCGCCAAGCGGCAAGAGGUGAACCACCCAUCACCACUUGGGCACAAAUGAAGGAUGUCAUGAGAGCACGAUUCGUGCCAAACUACCACAACCGCGACCUCUUCAAGAAACUCCAACAACUCAAGCAAGGAACCAAGAGCGUUGAAGAAUACUACAAGGAAAUGGAGAUUUCCAUGAUACGAGCCAAUGUCAAAGAAGAUGAUGAGUAA